UCUGAAAGAAGUACUCUGAAGAAGAUGAAUGAAAUGACAGCAUUUAGGAAAUUUUAGACACUGCUCAAGAUGCGCAUUAUUGUAUCUGUCCUCAGCAUGUGAUGUGUGCGCAAACUGUUGUGCCUGCUCACUCUCCCUCUUUAGCAAAGGGGCUCCCUGAAGCAUCUGGCAGCUUUCCAUCCUCACACUGAUUCUGAGGUUUGCAGAACCAAGAGCUGUGUUGCCAAGGUCCAUCUUUAUUUUAAACUAUAGAAAGCCUGUAUGAUGUGCUAGGUCACUCCCAAGCUUAAAAAUGAUAACAUUGCUUAGGGCCAAUAUUGUUAACAUGUUAGCAAGGAGUAAUAUUGCAUUUCUCAUUUGUUUUCCAGACUUUGUUGGGUGUUAUAUUAGUAGUGGUGAUACAAAGUUUGUAGUACAAUUGCUUUAUUAACUCUAAGAUUUUAGUAUUUGCCAUUUUAGAAAAUGCCAGUGUGCUUGCACGCUCAGUGUAGUGACGGAUGCUAGCUCAAAACAGCCUUGGGCUACAGCUGAAAGCAAAGUCUACUUCAUUCACAGGCAGAAGCAUAUUCUGCAGGGGUGAAGGCUUUAAAGAUUUACCUGUGAAGUUCUACAAAGUCUUUACAACAGAUGUGCAAAAUAUGAUUUUUCAGAGUUUGGAAAUUUGUCCAAAUUUGAGUGAGUUAUCAAGGGAAGAGCAAAAGGCACAAAUGUGGGAGAAAAGACAUUACCCAGAUGAAUGUCAAGUCCCUGCUUUAGAGCUUGAGUCUACAAAGCUUUUCAAAGAAAAAGCCACCACCAUGUUUCAGUACCAACACUUAUUUUCCUUGUUCUCUUAAAUGGAUUGAACUGGUUUUGGACUGAACAUUUCUAAAAAUUACAAUGUAAACCAUGCAUUUUUUAGUGAUAGAAAAUUUCAGACUGGAUUAUCGAAGUUGGACAAAGUUAUAAGUAACAGAGGACCUGGAGUUUCCAGCUAAGGGAACUCUGUGCAGGUGGACACCAUGACUCUUCUGCACAGAGAGAGAAGAUAGUGAAGCACAGAUGGAAUGAAGAAACUUACAGUUCUUUGAUGAGAACAUGAGUUUUCCUAUCUUGUGUCCUAGGUGUCCUAGCCAUUGAUUAGACCAGCCUAUGAAUGUUCAGCUCACCAUUUCCCAAGCAAUAAUUUCCCAUGAUAUGAAUAUUGGUCAUUCAGGUUCUUCAGUUUGUAUUGCGUAUGUAACCAUUCGUUGGUGCCUUGACAGGAGAACAACUGGUCAAAAUGGUAAAACAGGCAACACAAUUUGAAUCUAGUAGCCUCUAGAGCAAUCCUAGUUGAAUUUCAGAAUUCUCUUACCUUUGGUUAUGUAGUGGGGGAUGCACAGAAGUGUGAGUAUUACUUUGUCCCCUGUUAUGAUACAUCCAAUCCUGCUGGUUAAGGGGGUUCAUGGACGGUGCUGCAAACAUCUAAGAGUACUUCAGAAAGUGAUGCCAGGGGUCUAGUAUAGUGUGUGUACAUGUAUAUACAUAUGCUUCCUCUUCUGGAGUCAGACUAGGACUGUUGCUGAAGCAUAGUGUCAACUGAAAAGGCAGGUCUUAGCUAUCUGUGCUCAUGCGGUGUUUUCAUGGGGCUGGCAGUGUGUGCCUCUCUUCUUUGGGCUUCAGUUCUAAAUUCUGAAAAGCCUGUUCUGUUUACCUGCACCUUCAAGUGGAUACAACAAACUUGCUUGCACUAUUUGGCAUGGACUGCAUAGGGUCUGGGGUAAUUUCUUGUCCAAAAGAUUGAAAUUUUAUAAUGGGAAGUUUUCAGUGUUUUAAAAAAAUAUUAUCCUUAGUUCUGCUCCAUUCAGGUUUUCAGGUGCUCUGAGAGAGGAGGUGGUGCUGGACACAAAUGGAUUGUCGAGAUGGCAGCUGAACCGAACAGGAACACAAUAAUUUGUGCAUCAUGAGGGCUUCCACUAGCUUUUAAUCAUGAAGAGACAAGCCUUUAGCUGGGAUUUCCCAAAGAAGAUUCAUGUCACGGACCUAAGAAAUUUCAUGUCAAUCAAAUGUUGAAUAGUGUUUGUGAAGCAGCUGCAGCGUGCUAGAUUUUCCACCAGAAACAGCGAUUCUGGCUACAUUGGCUUUGGUGAAGUAUCCUGUCAGAUGGAAAUGCAUUAAUCAAAACCAGGACCUUCAGUGAUUUGGCUGCUGAAGCUCAGCUGAGGAAACAUUUGCACAUCCUUCUGCAGCAGGGCAUUCUUGGCUUCCUCUGCUGUGUUGUGCAAGGGUUUGGUGUAUUUGCCUCCAGCGGUAACUGCAUUUCAGUGGUAAAUGAAAUGACUCAAAUCCUAGGGACUGGGAUGUAUGCGGGUAAUACUCUAACCUAUAAAAUUAUUCAUGCUCUUCCCUGGGGUAUGGGAAAUGGGAGUUGUUUAUUUGCACAUUUUUUAAUUUGAAGAAAGACUUGGAGAAAGUGUAUUCAAACCAAGGGGAUAAGGGAAACUCCCUUUGUGGUAUCUGGUCAAUGAUGGAAAAUUGAGCUUAGGAGAUUUUGACAGUAUUCCAUGUAAGGGCUGCAAUCUUGAUCAAGACAGUUGACUUCUCCUGUAAGACAAA
Molecule: long non-coding RNA, 2577 nt
Organism: Aquila chrysaetos chrysaetos
Lineage: Eukaryota; Metazoa; Chordata; Aves; Accipitriformes; Accipitridae
Exons: 2
Source: RefSeq, a predicted model, not a curated record